This 482-nucleotide ribosomal RNA is filed under the name uncultured bacterium. Its description in RNAcentral is "partial 16S ribosomal RNA". It matches the Rfam family "Bacterial small subunit ribosomal RNA", at positions 30 to 505 of the family's 1533-position model. The record is from RNAcentral.
AUUGAACGCUGGCGGCAGGCCUAACACAUGCAAGUCGAGCGGAUGAAGGGAGCUUGCUCCUGGAUUCAGCGGCGGACGGGUGAGUAAUGCCUAGGAAUCUGCCUGGUAGUGGGGGAUAACGUCCGGAAACGGGCGCUAAUACCGCAUACGUCCUGAGGGAGAAAGUGGGGGAUCUUCGGACCUCACGCUAUCAGAUGAGCCUAGGUCGGAUUAGCUAGUUGGUGGGGUAAAGGCCUACCAAGGCGACGAUCCGUAACUGGUCUGAGAGGAUGAUCAGUCACACGGGAACUGAGACACGGUCCAGACUCCGACGGGAGGCAGCAGUGGGGAAUAUUGGAAAAUGGGGGAAAGCCUGAUCCAGCCAUGCCGGGUGUGUGAAGAAGGUCUUCGGAUUGUAAAGCACUUUAAGUUGGGAGGAAGGGCAGUAAGUUAAUACCUUGCUGUUUUGACGUUACCAACAGAAUAAGCACCGGCUAACUUCG